Molecule: ribosomal RNA, 497 nt
Filed under: uncultured bacterium
Lineage: Bacteria
Description: partial 16S ribosomal RNA
Rfam family: Bacterial small subunit ribosomal RNA
Source: RNAcentral
GAUGAACGCUGGCGGCGUGCCUAAUACAUGCAAGUCGAGCGAACAGACGAGGAGCUUGCUCCUCUGACGUUAGCGGCAGACGGGUGAGUAACACGUGGAUAACCUCCCUAUAAUACUGGUAUAACUUCGGAAAACCGGCGCUAAUACCGGAUAAUAUAUUGAACCGCAUUGUUGAAUAGUAAGAGACGGUUUUGCUGUCACUUAUCGAUGGAUACGCGCCGCAUUAGCUAGUUGGUAAGGUAACGGCUUACCAAGGCAACCAUGCGUAGACGAACUGAGAGGGUGGUCGGCCACACUGGAAGGUAGACACGGUCAAGAGGCCUACGGUAGGGAGCAGUAGGGAAUCGUACGCAACGGGCGAAAGUAUGACGGAGCAACGCCGCGUGAGUGAUGAAGGUCCUCGGAUCGUAAAACUCUGUUAUGAGUGAAGAACAAAUGUGUAAGUAAAUAUGCAGUUCGUGACGGUACUUAAUAAGAAAGCAACGGCUAACUACGUG